This 234-nucleotide unclassified non-coding RNA is filed under the name Sakaguchia lamellibrachiae. Its description in RNAcentral is "partial internal transcribed spacer region". The stretch from base 1 to 63 matches the Rfam family "Eukaryotic small subunit ribosomal RNA", at positions 1769 to 1831 of the family's 1831-position model. Lineage: Eukaryota; Fungi; Basidiomycota; Cystobasidiomycetes; Sakaguchiales; Sakaguchiaceae. The record is from RNAcentral.
CUUUUUAGAGGAAGUAAAAGUCGUAACAAGGUUUCCGUAGGUGAACCUGCGGAAGGAUCAUUAAUGAAAUGCAAGGACGCUCUUUUUAGAGGUCCGACCCAAUUCAUUUUCUCACACUGUGCACACUACUACUUUUUACACCAUUUUUAACACAAAAGUCAAAGAAUGUAAACAGUCUCUUAAUCGAGCAUAAAAUUUAAACAAAACUUUCAGCAACGGAUCUCUUGGCUCUCC